AAGACCUUGCACUUUCGGAGCGGCCGAUGUCUGAUUAGCUAGUUGGUGGGGUAAUGGCCUACCAAAGCUUCGAUCAGUAGCUGGUCUGAGAGGACGGCCAGCCACACUGGGACUGAGACACGGCCCAGACUCCUACGGGAGGCAGCAGUGGGGAAUUUUGGACAAUGGGCGCAAGCCUGAUCCAGCCAUGCCGCGUGAGUGAAGAAGGCCUUCGGGUUGUAAAGCUCUUUCAGCCGGGAAGAAAAGGUUGCGACUAAUAAUCGCAAUCCAUGACGGUACCGAAAGAAGAAGCACCGGCUAACUACGUGCCAGCAGCCGCGGUAAUACGUAGGGUGCGAGCGUUAAUCGGAAUUACUGGGCGUAAAGGGUGCGCAGGCGGUUUUGUAAGUCAGAUGUGAAAUCCCCGGGCUUAACCUGGGAACU
Molecule: ribosomal RNA, 423 nt
Filed under: uncultured bacterium
Lineage: Bacteria
Description: bacterial SSU rRNA
Rfam family: Bacterial small subunit ribosomal RNA
Source: RNAcentral